Dreissena polymorpha is the source of this 1118-nucleotide long non-coding RNA. RefSeq lists it as uncharacterized. The transcript is spliced from 4 exons. NCBI's taxonomy places the organism in Eukaryota, Metazoa, Mollusca, Bivalvia, Myida, Dreissenidae. The record is from RefSeq and is a predicted model, not a curated record.
AAUGGUGUCUAACAAUAUGCAAUAUUCUGUAGACAAGACAAAUAAUAAUUAGCAUUGAUAUUACUAGUAGCCAAAAUCUUCGCACAACAGACGUCGAAACAUUGUAUUCCGACGCAAUUGUUUGUUGUUAAUUACAAAUGUUUACGUACACUUGCUUUGUUUCUUUAUUACAUGUGUAACCCAAUACAUACAUAUUACAUGUACAAGGGAAUAAGGAUCAGUAGGACAUUUUAGCACUAUUGAUACACAACAACACAAGAUCGUUAUCAAUAUUUCACUGCAGUAAUGGAAAACAGCGUUGAUUUCUACAAAAACUUGUAUAACAACGCCCUCGCGGGAAUGACGCAUGUCUCUUGUGCAUUUUAGAUAAAGCAGGAGCCACCACGCCUAAACCUACUGCCCAGGCCUCGCCCGUCGCCCCGCCAAUUGGGAAGAUGCCCGCUUCGACAGGCAUACUUAAACCACAACCAGCGGAUUUACGAGUAUAUUCGUGGGAUCCUUGUGCAAGCUACGAGGGGUCAUACUUUCCUCACCCGACUGAGUGCGACCAAUAUUUCCAGUGCUCCAACGGUGCCUCCAUUCUACAGAAAUGCACAACAGGGCUGCUUUACCAUUGGAGGGAACUAACGUGCGUCAGCAGGUUCAUGCCAGGCGUGCUAUGCCCGGAAGCUAAAAGAGCCCCGCAAAAACCCACGCCUACAACACCUUCUACAACGACUUCAACAACACCGUCCACUACGACGUCAACAACAACGUCUCAAAGACCAACAAAAAAACACAAUUAUGACCGCUUCUACAAAGACGACCAAUACAAUCGUUGUUACCGUUAGCUUCUUUACUGGGCCGAGUACGAUGGAUCCAUUACUGGCAGAUUCUCCUGAGCACAAUACUGAAACCGCACCUGGACCGGAUGCGAAUGCUCUUAUUUUGACAGCCAUUGCUGCUCUGUAACAAUAUAGACCAAAGUAUUCCUAGACGCCAUGUGUGAGCGGAUAUGAUUUGCAACUAUACCCAUUUUCGGAUGAUUGUGCCAAGUUCAUCCAAUGCGUCAACGAAAAAGCACAAGUCAUUAAUUGCUCACAUGGACUUUUGUUUGACUCCGCAAGUAACGCGUGUAU